CGGAGGAUCCAAGCGUUAUCCGGAUUUAUUGGGUUUAAAGGGUGCGUAGGCGGCCUGUUAAGUCAGGGGUGAAAGACGGUGGCUCAACCAUCGCAGUGCCUUUGAUACUGACGGGCUUGAAUGCAGCUGAGGUAGGCGGAAUGUGACAAGUAGCGGUGAAAUGCAUAGAUAUGUCACAGAACACCAAUUGCGAAGGCAGCUUACUAAAGUGUGAUUGACGCUGAGGCACGAAAGCGUGGGAUCAAACAGGAUU
Molecule: ribosomal RNA, 253 nt
Filed under: uncultured bacterium
Lineage: Bacteria
Description: partial 16S ribosomal RNA
Rfam family: Bacterial small subunit ribosomal RNA
Source: RNAcentral